GGCGGCGUGCUUAACACAUGCAAGUCGAACGAUGACUUUUGUGCUUGCACAAAAUGAUUAGUGGCGAACGGGUGAGUAACACGUGAGUAACCUGCCCUUAACUUCGGGAUAAGCCUGGGAAACUGGGUCUAAUACCGGAUACGACGGUCCACCGCAUGGUGGUCCGUGGAAAGCUUGAUGCGGUUUUGGAUGGACUCGCGGCCUAUCAGCUAGUUGGUUGGGGUAAUGGCCCACCAAGGCGACGACGGGUAGCCGGCCUGAGAGGGUGACCGGCCACACUGGGACUGAGACACGGCCCAGACUCCUACGGGAGGCAGCAGUGGGGAAUAUUGCACAAUGGGCGAAAGCCUGAUGCAGCGACGCCGCGUGAGGGACGAAGGCCUUCGGGUUGUAAACCUCUUUCAGCAGGGAAGAAGCGAAAGUGACGGUACCUGCAGAAGAAGCGCCGGCUAACUACGUGCCAGCAGCCGCGGUAAUACGUAGGGCGCAAGCGUUAUCCGGAAUUAUUGGGCGUAAAGAGCUCGUAGGCGGUUUGUCGCGUCUGCUGUGAAAGCCCGGGGCUCAACCCCGGGUCUGCAGUGGGUACGGGCAGACUAGAGUGCAGUAGGGGAGACUGGAAUUCCUGGUGUAGCGGUGAAAUGCGCAGAUAUCAGGAGGAACACCGAUG
Molecule: ribosomal RNA, 667 nt
Filed under: Arthrobacter sp.
Lineage: Bacteria; Bacillati; Actinomycetota; Actinomycetes; Micrococcales; Micrococcaceae
Description: bacterial SSU rRNA
Rfam family: Bacterial small subunit ribosomal RNA
Source: RNAcentral